GAUGAAGAACGUAGCGAAAUGCGAUAAGUAAUGUGGAUUGCAGAAUUCAGUGAAUCAUCGAAUCUUUGAACGCACAUUGCGCCCGCCAGUAUUCUGGCGGGCAUGCCUGUUCGAGCGUCAUUUCAACCCUCAGGCCCCCAGUGCCUGGUGUUGGGGAUCGGCCCAGCCUUCCUGUAAGGCCGCCGGCCCCGAAAUCUAGUGGCGGUCUCGCUGUAGUCCUCCUCUGCGUAGUAGCACAACCUCGCAGUUGGAACGCGGCGGUGGCCAUGCCGUUAAACACCCCACUUCUGAAAGUUGACCUCGGAUCAGGUAGGAAUACCCGCUGAACUUAAGCAUAUCAAUAAGCGGAGGA
Molecule: unclassified non-coding RNA, 352 nt
Filed under: soil metagenome
Description: partial contains 5.8S ribosomal RNA, internal transcribed spacer 2, and large subunit ribosomal RNA
Rfam family: 5.8S ribosomal RNA (bases 1-120)
Source: RNAcentral